Dama dama (fallow deer) is the source of this 1029-nucleotide non-coding RNA. Lineage: Eukaryota; Metazoa; Chordata; Mammalia; Artiodactyla; Cervidae. The record is from the annotation of a RefSeq genome assembly.
UCAGGUACAAACCCAGAUUCUCCGAGUCUAAAUCCAGUGGUCUCUCCACUACAGAACAACGCCCCUUGACACUAGAGGAGGCUGUGGGAAACAAGGGCUCCCAAGGACCCUGCCCAGCCUACUGGUAGACAGUAUUUGGUCUGAGGGUCAUGUGAGCAGAGUUGGGGUUACCCAGCUGUCUGCUCACAGCAGUCUGUGCAAAUUCAAAGAAAUAGAGUAUGAGUUCAAAGAACUCAACUUGAAGAACUGGAAAAGCAGCUCUCUGCUUGAGCUUAUGGGGAAGUAAAAGCUGAAAUGUGAUGAGAAGGCUUGCAAAUGUCCCUACCUACUACCCUCAAGUCUUUCCUUCUUCCUUCUAUUUUCAGUGAGGCCAAUAAACAGAUCUUUCUCCAUUGCUAUGUCAUCUGUGUUUAUUUGUUUGGGGCUCCUCAGGCAGCCCUCUGGCCCUGAAAAUAUUUAAUGAAAUAUUAACUACCUCAGCCUCACAGCACCCUCUAACCACUGUGCACUAAUGGAAAAGCUGGAAGCACAGUUUGUGUAUUAAGAACAGCUGCCAGGGGCUGGUUUCCUCAGACAGAGACAUGUCACAGAGAAGGUGUUGGCUCAGAGGAGGGACCAGGCAAGGACCAGUCGGGAGGCAGAGCUGUCCCCAAGCGAGCCAUGCAGAGGGUCUGCUCCUUCAUCCACCUCACCCUCUUCUGGGCAGGAGUCAUGUCAGCUGUCGUGUUGUUGCCUCAAGACCAAGAAAAGACUGUGCCUGUGGGGAAAUCUGUCACCCUCAGUUGCUCCAUGAAAGGAGACUCCAUCAGUAAACACUAUAUUUUCUGGUACAGGAAGACCCCGGGUAACAGAAUGACUUUCAUAUACCGAGAAGGGGGUACAUAUGGCCCUGGGUUUGAGGACAACUUCCGAGGUAAAAUUGAUGAUUUAACCAACCAGGCUAUGCUGGAGGUCCUGAAGGUAUCAAAGAGAGAUGAAGGAUUUUACUACUGUGCCAGUGUUACCACCCUGCUGCAGGUUCACUUCUAA